UCGGGAGUAGCUCAGCUGGAAGAGCGCCGGCCCUAUAAGCCGUCGGUCGCAGGAUCGAGACCUGCCUCCCGAA
This 73-nucleotide transfer RNA is filed under the name Chloroflexota bacterium. RNAcentral describes it as "Chloroflexi bacterium tRNA-Ile". It matches the Rfam family "tRNA". From Rfam's summary of the family: Transfer RNA (tRNA) molecules are approximately 80 nucleotides in length. The record is from RNAcentral. RNAcentral also lists the same sequence under 1 other name. Lineage: Bacteria; Bacillati; Chloroflexota.